Molecule: ribosomal RNA, 425 nt
Filed under: uncultured Bacillota bacterium
Lineage: Bacteria; Bacillati; Bacillota
Description: bacterial SSU rRNA
Rfam family: Bacterial small subunit ribosomal RNA
Source: RNAcentral
GCAACGCGAAGAACCUUACCAGGUCUUGACAUCCUUUUGAAUGGUCUAGAGAUAGAUCAGGCCUUCGGGACAGAAGAGACAGGUUGGUGCAUGGUUGUCGUCAGCUCGUGUCGUGAGAUGUUGGGUUAAGUCCCGCAACGAGCGCAACCCUUAUCAUUAGUUGCUAACAUUCAGUUGAGAACUCUAAUGAGACUGCCAGUGAUAAACUGGAGGAAGGUGGGAUGACGUCAAAUCAUCAUGCCCCUUAUGACCUGGGCUACACACGUGCUACAAUGGCCGGUACAAAGAGUUGCGAAACUGUGAAGUUAAGCUAAUCUCAUAAAGCCGGUCUCAGUUCGGAUUGUAGUCUGCAACUCGACUACAUGAAGUCGGAAUCGCUAGUAAUCGCGAAUCAGAAUGUCGCGGUGAAUACGUUCUCGAGUCUU